AUCCCCCAUGCCCCUGCCAAAAGCACUCCAGAUGACAAAAAUCCACCACAAAGCUCUUUUUUAAAAAGAAAGAUUCUGAGAAGUUCCAUCAAAAGAAGAAAAGAAGAAAUGAAGGGAUGGUGCCAUGAGUGAAACAAGCUGCUCAGCAGGCACUUACUAAACACCAACUACAUGCCAUGCCCAGUGUUAAGGUCUGGGGAUUGAAAGAAGAGUAGGACAGGGUCCAUCUUGGAGGCACUUUCUGUCCCAUUCCCUUCCCAGAUGCUGGAGCCACAGCUACUUUUAGGAUUCUUGUGUUUUUCUCCUUCUCCCAAGGGGGAGGGCACUGUAGGGACAGUGUCUUGAUGUCAUAGUUAGAUCUUGGACUUUGAAGGCAAACUAGUGGGUUUGACUCUUGGCCGCAUGGUUAAUCACCUGUGACCUUGGGCAAGUCACCAGAAUCCUCCCUGUGUCAGUUUCCUCAUCUGCAAAGUGGAAUAAUGCCUUAAACAAGGAGGACCUUGUUUCUAUCUAUGAAGCAUGGCGAACAG
Molecule: small RNA, 530 nt
Filed under: Pongo abelii (Sumatran orangutan)
Lineage: Eukaryota; Metazoa; Chordata; Mammalia; Primates; Hominidae
Description: processed transcript
Source: RNAcentral